Molecule: long non-coding RNA, 2508 nt
Organism: Panicum virgatum (switchgrass)
Lineage: Eukaryota; Viridiplantae; Streptophyta; Magnoliopsida; Poales; Poaceae
Exons: 5
Source: RefSeq, a predicted model, not a curated record
UUUGUCUACUUUAAUCUCUCCAUUUCUGGUGCCCAUUCGAUCUUUAUUUCUGCCCAUCUCGUGCGAUGCAUUGCCGACAAGAAAAGGCGCAGCUGAUAAAAUGCUGAGGCCGGCUUCACGAACUGAGCACAUCAAGAUGCUCCCCUUAACUUUAUCCCUAUUUGCACGUUGAAUGAUGGCACAGGGACGAUAGGAAAUUAUUGUUUAGGUGCAGAUCACCAAUUGGUUACCAGUAUAAGGACAGCAUUGUUGGUGCAUUAGCUGUUACCUUUUCUUGCAACCUGCUCCGGUUGUAACCUCCCCUGCAGUUCCCUACUUCACUGGUCUAGUAGUACAGAUAACUAUAUAACAUCACCAAAUCUUACCAGGAAUAAACGGAUGGGAGGGUGGGUUCCUAGCGAUUCAAUUUUGCCAAGCAAAACCUGGUUGGUUGUGUCAAUUCACCCCGAAAGUCUGCUCUGAAAUGACCAUCCUAAAAUGCGUAGUUUACUAGCUAAGCCCAGUUAGGUGGUGUCUGUAGAAAAAAAGGUGAUGGAUGCAUUGCUCGGAAAAUUCCGAAGAAAGCUUAUCUCGUUUUGCAAAUUAGGAGAAACUUUCAACUAUGUGUAGCCAUCACCACUUGCUAGUACUCUGUAUUACCCUAAAGUUAAGCCUUUGAUUAACAAAUUGUCAAAAAGCUCCCCUCCUUUGUUAAAUAAAGGUGAGGACAGGGAAUGUCUUGGGAGUGCCAAACACUCUCUCACAUCACCAAUAAUGCACCAUAAAAAAUUCAUACAAUCAAUUGAGCCUCCCCCGUAUCAACACAGCCUUGGACAUUUGCAUCAGGAGAGUGACGUGGAUGGAGAAAAUUAUAAUGGCUUGUUGCUGGUGCCAUCUCAGUUUGCUCGGCUGAUUAUCAGUGAUAUGUCUACCUGCCUUUCUGCCAAAGUAAAGAACUAUUCAGAACACUGACCAUUGGUCGAUGCAUUGAAUUAGACCACAACUUGAUGAAGAACAAAAUUACACAAGAUUCAGUUUUCUGAAGGUUAGUAACUGAAAAACCAUAGGAAAUAUUUGCCAGUUCAUUCUAUGUUUAUGUCAUCCCAUACAAUCCUAAGAAGUUCUGUCAGGUAGAUUAAUAUAUGUUUUAGUCUUAAGCAAAUAACAGGAACAAAGAUCUGAUUAUCUGAAUAUAAGGAAAUCAAAUAGAACUCGAUAUUGAUAUUUCAGCUUUGGAACUAAGAGCUAUUACUUGGAAGUGAUACUUAAACACUGUAACAGCAGGCAUUAGUAAUCUUCAUGUUGUGCAGCUGAACUGUUGAACUUGGACAGUCAAAAUUGCAGCUUAUAGCUUUAAUCAUCGUUUUCCUUCAGACACUCAUGUUGGAAACCACAGCAUAGGAUGGAGAGCCCAGCUGAAGGGCAGCUGGAUAGGCAGAAUCCAAGGGCCAAAAAGAUUCGUGGCCUGGUGCCCCUUAGCAUGCAGCUUCGACGAAGCUGCAACCAGCAAGUAAACAAAUGAAAGGCCAUUUGCAAAGUAUAGGACUGGUGGGUGGUGGCUAAUGGAUGUCUUGAGAUAACUGCAUUCUACCAUGCACACAAAUAGAGAUCCAUCAACAAAACCAAGAACGAGAAGGGUGGCGUCCAAGCAACAUGAAGCUGUUCCACGCAAGUGGGAGGUUUCUCCUUGUCCCCAAAUGUGAAGUGAUAUUGUUUGCCAGGUUGCAAUCAAUCCAAUUUACAAUCACAUACCAAUUAUCUUUCUGACUUGUUUGGCCCCCAUUGCCUGGUGCAGCGGUAGAGCCUACCGUCUGUAACCGGAAGGUCCCAGGUUCGAGCCCCAGCCUCUGCACAUUUGUGUGGGUAAGGCUUGGGGCUUAAAAACAACCCUUCCCCAGACCCCGCACAGUGCAGGAAGCCUACGGCACUGGGCACGCCCUUUUACUUGUUUGGCCCCCAUUGCACCACUGACUCUUCUUGUGGCCUUAUCCCUGCCCUUUGGCUAUAAAAGUAGACUCAGCCUCACUCCCCUCUUUGCACCAGCACUGCUGUGUUCCUGUUUCCCCUUCUUCUAGGGUUAGAAAAUAAGAUGAGGGUUCAAGCUGUGUUGUGCAGAAGUGAGCUCAGUGCUAUGACAUGAAAUUCAAGAUCUGAUCUAUACAGCCAGGUUUUGCAUCUGGGGGCAGCAAGCUAGAGGCGGCAACUGCAUAACUUGCGAUAAACUUGUUGGACCAUGGUCGUGCCGAUGAUUUUACCGCAAGUUAUGCAGUUGCUGCCUCAAGCUUGCUGCCUCCCUUUGCCAAACCAGCAGGGAUCAGAUGAAAUUCAUUCAUAUAGAGACCUUCCCUUCCAUAACCAUGUAUUGUAGUUUUAUCCUGAGAGAUCAAAGAGAAGAGUGAUGCCAGAAAGCUUUGUACGAGCUAUCAGUUUUUUUUGGCAAAACUAGCUUGCUAGCUGUUCAUGUAUUGUUACGUUGUUGUCCCCCAUUGCUGAAAACCUAAUGGAAUACUUAUGUUGCCGAGUUUGUUU